This is a long non-coding RNA of Rattus norvegicus (Norway rat), 3590 nucleotides long. RefSeq lists it as uncharacterized. The record is from RefSeq and is a predicted model, not a curated record. Lineage: Eukaryota; Metazoa; Chordata; Mammalia; Rodentia; Muridae.
GACACCUACGCCUUUAUCGCCAGUUGCUUCUAGCGGGUCUCCGAGGGGCUAUACGACGCCCUACUAAUUUGGCUCAGGUAAAACAGGUAUUACAGGAAGCAGGGGAAACUCCCUCCGCCUUUCUAGAGAGACUUAAGGAGGCCUACCGUAUGUACACUCCCUAUGACCCAGAUGACCCAGGACAAAUGACGAGUGUCUCUAUGUCCUUCAUCUGGCAGGCUGCUCCAGAUAUCAGGACUAAGUUACAGAGGUUAGAAAAUUUGCAGGGCUAUACAUUACAGGAUUUACUUAAAGAAGCUGAAAAGAUUUUUAAUAAGAGAAAGAAUUGAGUCGAAUCUUGGCCGCCGUAGUUCAGGACCAAGAAAGGAAGGGAGAUAGGGGGGAGCUCGAAAGGGGCUGAAGCUGGAUAAAGAUCAAUGUGCCUAUUACAAAGAGAAAGGGCACCGGGCCAGAGAGUGCCCCAAGAAGCCUGGCGGACCCCGAAAGCCUCGACCACGAACCUCCCUCUUGGCUCUAGAUAAAGAUUAGGGAGGUCAGGGCCAGGAGCCCCCCCCUGAGCCCAGGGUAACGCUUAAAGUUGGGGGGCAGCCGGUUACUUUCCUGGUAGACACAGGAGCCCAGCAUUCAGUCCUCACCCAAGCUUCAGGACAACUCAGCGACCGGACGGCCUGGGUACAAAGAGCUACUGGUGAGAAACAAUACCGAUGGACUACGGAACGCCGGGUUCAGCUGGCUACCGGUAAGGUGACCCAUUCCUUCUUACAUGUUCCGGACUGCCCGUACCCUCUGCUGGGCCGUGACCUGCUCACCAAACUAAAAGCACAAAUUCAUUUUGAGGAAAGAGGGGCCCAAAUAACUGGCCCCCACGGAACUCCCCUUCAAGUUCUAACCCUAUGAACCGGGACAGGACACUGGCUUGGGCAGAGACUGGUGGGAUGGGGUUGGCGCUCCAACAGCCCCCCUUAAUUACAACUCCAGUCUCCAUAAAACAAUACCCCCUGUCACAUGAAGCUUAUCAAGGUAUAAGGCUUCACAUUACGAGGCUUCUAGAUCAAGGCAUCCUAGUCCCCUGCCGGUCGCCUUGGAAUACGCCUCUUCUGCCUGUUAAGAAACCCGUCACUGGAGAUUAUAGGCCAAUACAAGACUUGAGAAAGGUCAACAAGAGGAUAAAAGAUAUUCAUCCGACUGUUCCAAACCCUUACAAUUUGCUCAGUAACUGUUCAUCGAUGAGAAACAGGGGUAUGCUAAAGGGGUCCUAACACAAAGGUUGGGACUCUGAAAACGCCCUGUGGCCUACCUGUCUAAGAAAUUGGACCCUGUGGCCUCCGGCUGGCCACCGUGCCUAAAGAUGGUGGCUGCUAUUGCUGUCCUGAUCAAGGACGCUGGAAAAUUGACUUUGGGACAGCCACUCACCAUCCUAGCACCCCACGCAGUGGAGGCCUUGGUAAAGCAGCCCCCAGACCGCUGGCUCUCUAAUUCUCACACCAAGCCUUGUUACUGGAUGCAGAACGGGUUCAGUUUGGGCCCGUAGUCGCCCUCAAUCCUGCCACCUUGCUUCCUCUACCAGAGGAGGCAAAACAGCAUGACUGCCUACAAAUCCUCGCAGAAGUACAUGGAACCAGGCCGGACCUAUCGGACCAGCCUCUUCAGAAUGCUGACCACACAUGGUACACGGAUGACAACAGCUUCUUGGCAGAGGGAGAGUGAAAGGCUGGAGCUGCGGUCACUACGGAAGACAAAGUGAUUUGGGCGAAAGCCCUGCCUGCUGGUACCUCCGCACAACGGGCUGAACUCAUCGCCUUGACUCAGGCGUUCAAGAUGACAAAAGGUAAGAGGCUAAAUAUAUAUACAGACAGCCGUUAUGCCUUUGCCACGGCACACAUCCACGGGGAGAUCUACCGGAGGCGGGGGCUGCUCACAUCUGAGGGUAAAGAUAUGGCUAAAAUUCUGGCCCUCUUAGAAGCCCUAUUCUUGCCCAAAAGACUGAGUAUUAUAUAUUGUCCAGGACACCAGAAAGGACACAACCCAGAGACACGAGGAAACCGGCUGGCCGAUGCCACGGCGCGAAAAGCGGCCAUGAGCAAACAAAUCUUGCCCUUAAAUAGCCCAGACCAACCCACGCCCCCACCAGUGGGACAAACCAGUUGGGUUUAUGCCCAUGAGGACAUAGAGCUCCUAAAAAAAUGGGGGCCAUCUACCACCCUCAACUAAAACAGUGGGUCUACAAAGGACUUUUGAAUUGAUCUCCUUUUUACAUAAGAAGAUAAAAACCUUACUAGAUCGAGAAGAGAUAAAUCUGUUUUUUUUUUAAUUGGGACAAAGCGAUACAAAAGGUGACUGAGAGUUACAAAGCGUGUGCUCAGGUUAACCUGGGAAGGACCAUGAUUGGACAAGGAGUUCGUCCUAGGGGACACCGUCCCGACAUCCAUUGGGAAAUUGAUUUUACUGAAAUUAAACCAGGUAUAUAUGGAUACAAGUAUCUCCUAGUGUUUAUAGACACCUUCUCAGGAUGGGUCAAAGCCUUCCCCACGAAGCACGAGACUACAAAAAUGGUCACCAAGAAGCUCCUCGAGGAAAUCUUUCCCAGCCCUUCUCUGAGGGCCCAUUUACAGGCCCUACAGAUUGUGCAGAGAGACGUCUGGAGACCUUUGGCCGCUGCUUACCAGGACAAGCUUGAACAUCCGGUGGUGCCACACCUGUUCCAGAUUGGAGACACCGUGUGGGUGCACAGACACCAGACCAAGAAUCUCGAGCCACGGUGGAAAGGACCCUACACCGUCCUCCUGACUACCCUGACCGCCCUAAAGGUAGACGGAGUCUCGGCUUAGAUCCACGCACCACACCUCAAGGCAGUCCGGUCUGAGAAAUUGACUAAUCACAACACUACACCCCAGACAUGGAGAGUUCAGCACACUCCAAACCCCUUAAAGUUAAAACUCCUACGUGGCUCCUCCUAGCCCUUUUGUGGCCUAGAGUCAGUGGGGGAAUAAGCCCCCACCAGACAGAAAUUUCUUGACCAAGUCGAGUGAAAGAUUUCACUCAAAGUUAGCAAAAAAUGGGGGAAUGAAAGACCCCAGCUUAGCAGCAGUAACGCCAUUUUGCAAGGCUGUACUUAAGAUGACUGGUUCAGGGAAAGGUUAGAACACUGAGUACACAGCAGCUGCCAAGCAGGAUGUGUUUGGUUGAAGGCCUGGCAACAGGACGACUUCGGUUGAGCACCUGACAAUGAAAAAAAGCCCCGGGAGAGGUCCCACACCCUGGUGGGGGGCCGAGUCAGUCGUUAUGUUCCAAGAAGGUAGCUAAGAAACUUGCCCCCGGGCUGAACCCUUGGGGGGCCGAGUCAGCCGUUAUGUUUCAGGAAGGUAGCUAGGAAACUUGCCCCCGGGCUAAACCCUUGCCAUAUUAGAAUCCACCAAUUAUAUCCCUGUAACCAUGCAUCUGCUUCUGUAUGCUUGCUUCUGCUCCCCAAAAUCCUAUAAAAGCCCAUCCUUGGUUCCGUGGGGCGCGCCAGUCCCCCGAGUGACUGUAGCGCCCGCAGGUGCCUGUGCCUGUGUAUCCCGACAAUAAACCAAAUCCUCUUGCUGAUUGCA